This 471-nucleotide ribosomal RNA is filed under the name uncultured ammonia-oxidizing bacterium. Its description in RNAcentral is "bacterial SSU rRNA". It matches the Rfam family "Bacterial small subunit ribosomal RNA", at positions 195 to 647 of the family's 1533-position model. The record is from RNAcentral.
AUUGGAGGAAAGUAGGGGAUCGCAAGACCUCGCGCGAUUGGAGCGGCCGAUGUCUGAUUAGCUAGUUGGUGAGGUAAAGGCUUACCAAGGCGUCGAUCAGUAGCUGGUCUGAGAGGACGACCAGCCACACUGGGACUGAGACACGGCCCAGACUCCUACGGGAGGCAGCAGUGGGGAAUUUUGGACAAUGGGCGAAAGCCUGAUCCAGCAAUGCCGCGUGAGUGAAGAAGGCCUUCGGGUUGUAAAGCUCUUUCAGUCGAGAAGAAAAGAUUAUGACUAAUAAUCAUAAUUUAUGACGGUAUCGACAGAAGAAGCACCGGCUAACUACGUGCCAGCAGCCGCGGUAAUACGUAGGGUGCGAGCGUUAAUCGGAAUUACUGGGCGUAAAGGGUGCGCAGGCGGCCCCGCAAGUCAGGCGUGAAAUCCCCGAGCUUAACUUGGGAAUUGCGUUUGAAACUACAAGGCUAGAAU